CCUACGGGAGGCAGCAGUAGGGAAUCUUCCACAAUGGGCGAAAGCCUGAUGGAGCAACGCCGCGUGGGUGAAGAAGGUCUUCGGAUCGUAAAACCCUGUUGCUAGAGAAGAAAGUGCGUGAGAGUAACUGUUCACAUUUCGACGGUAUCUAACCAGAAAGCCACGGCUAACUACGUGCCAGCAGCCGCGGUAAUACGUAGGUGGCAAGCGUUAUCCGGAGUUAUUGGGCGUAAAGGGAACGCAGGCGGGCUUUUUAGUCUGAUGUGAAAGCCUUCGGCUUAAACGGAGUAGUUCAUUUGAAAUUG
This 305-nucleotide ribosomal RNA is filed under the name uncultured bacterium. Its description in RNAcentral is "bacterial SSU rRNA". It matches the Rfam family "Bacterial small subunit ribosomal RNA", at positions 338 to 635 of the family's 1533-position model. The record is from RNAcentral.